UCAUUUCCAUCUCUCAGCCACCUUUGAAUCCCAUCGUCUCUUAAACUCUCUCAAAUUUCUUCAUAACCCUAGUCGACUUCCACCCUUUUUCAACCAUUACUCCACCAUAAUCCAUGGCUUCUCAGGCCAUGGAUGGCAUGUACUCACCCCUCUCUACAAUUAGACCUUGGGUGUUUGAAGCUUUGAGGUCUGCUCUCGAUGAUUCACCUUCAGAUCUUCUGAGAUCUAUAGUUAUAUGGCUUCUCCAGCCUGCUCCGGCGUAUCCAAAGCACUAGAGCCUGUUUCUAACUCAGCCGACUCCAGAUCAGACUUUCUUCCAAACCUUUCUCUUUUCUAGGGUUUUUCCGAAAUUCUAAGCUAUUCGAGGUUUUUUCUCUGUUUCUUUUCUUAGAUCUAUGUUGUAUCUACGCUUUACUUGACUUUUAAAGUGUUUUCCCCAAAUUUUCCUUUUCAAAAUCAUUUGUUUUCGAUUUAGGGAUUCUGAAAGGG
RNAcentral lists this long non-coding RNA (489 nucleotides) under Nicotiana benthamiana. Its description in RNAcentral is "long non-coding RNA (NBEN_LNC022522)". The record is from RNAcentral. Lineage: Eukaryota; Viridiplantae; Streptophyta; Magnoliopsida; Solanales; Solanaceae.